This is a non-coding RNA of Capsicum annuum, 106 nucleotides long. NCBI's taxonomy places the organism in Eukaryota, Viridiplantae, Streptophyta, Magnoliopsida, Solanales, Solanaceae. The record is from Rfam.
CUUCAUAGUUUGGGCAUUGCAUGGGUUUGUCAUUGAAACUUUGCCAUACAUCAUAUAAGGGCUUACCGCUAAGUUGACAAAAAUUUAUGAUUUCAUUUCUUAGUUG